CCCCUGGUGGUCUAGUGUUUAGGAUGCGGCCCUCUCACCGCCGUGGCCCGGGUUCGAUUCCCGGUCAGGGAA
Molecule: non-coding RNA, 72 nt
Organism: Manacus vitellinus (golden-collared manakin)
Lineage: Eukaryota; Metazoa; Chordata; Aves; Passeriformes; Pipridae
Source: Rfam